This 29-nucleotide small RNA is filed under the name Bombyx mori (domestic silkworm). RNAcentral describes it as "ovarian small RNA-19398". The record is from RNAcentral. Lineage: Eukaryota; Metazoa; Arthropoda; Insecta; Lepidoptera; Bombycidae.
UAAGUCAUUUGUGCGAAAUAUAAACAUGU